UUGCCCUCCCUGUCAAUGACCAGCUGGAAUGCAUGGAGCUUUGCUUGGAUGCAGAUAAGGAGACAGCCUAGAUCUUAUGGGUCAGGAUUAAAGCAAGAGUAGGGACAGGUGACAUUAUUGUGGGGAAGCACUACAGGCUCCCUGUCAGGAUUGCUAAAUGGAUAAGGCACUCUAUAGAGUGAUAAGAGCAGCCUUGUGUUCAUAUGGUCCUUUUAGUCCACAUGGGGGACUUGCACUACCCAAAUUAUCUGUUGGAGAUGCAAUACUGCAGGGCUUAAGCGAUCCAGGAUGUUUCUGGAAUGCGCUUUAUUAUCCAGUAAAGGAUAAAUUCCUUCACCAGAUGAUAAAGAAACCAAUGAGGAGAGGUGCUGGAACACAAGGAGAGACUGGUGGGCAAUGCAAAGCUCGAGGACAGUUCAAGAGCUGCAGUGACCAUGGAGUGGUGCUAAUAUCCUUAGGGCAACAAGGAGGGCUCACAGUAGACUCAUUAUGCUGGACUUAGGGGUGUAGACUGUGGCCUCUUCAAGACUCUGCUUAGUACAGUACCAUGUGAUAGAACCCUGGAGGGAAGAAGAGCACACUAAAGGCAUUUAAUAUUUAAGGACCACUUCCUCCAAGCUCAUGAUAAAGAAAUCAAGCAAAGCCACCAGGAGGCCUGCAUGGAUAUGUAAGGAGCUCCUAGACAAACUCUCAAAAGGAAAGCCUACAGGGGUGGAAGCAAGGACAGCAGCAGAGAAUAUUUCUGAACAUCUGGCUUCCUCUCAACUGGCAAAUAAUUUACUACUAAGACCCUGAGCUUCCCCCAGUAGAAGAAACUACAAGUCAAAUAUCUUCUCAAAUGCUGGAUGCAUAUAUUUGGGGCAAAAGACAGACUCUGGCAAGAUGUUCAUUGUAAAUAUUAAAAAAAAAUUUGAGGCAACCUAACUGCUUGUGGAAGAUGAGUGGGCCCUUGGACUUCCCCAGGAUGAUUCUGUCAAGUAUGGGUAACCGAAGAGCUCUUCAGAUCUUAGGAUAAUUACAGUGUUCAGAGGUUAAAAAUCUAUUUCCUGUAGGAUUUUUGUGGGAAAUAAAAAGAAUGUAUUGGUGGUACUGUAGAGACAGAAACCUCAAGAAUGUCUGGCUAGUACCAUCUAAGAUGUGCAAUCAAGUUCUAAACACACUAAUUUGGAUGUAAGAAGCAGUACAGCUAAAAUGGUUCCUAAAUUAAAUUUGUUCUUUCAAGAAACAAGAGAAGAAGGUACUUUCCAAGUACAAGAGAGGAAGGCUGCCUGUCUCUGUGGCCUUUAACUCAUCACGAGACUGCUCUGUUGUGACAAUAGAUUAACCCCUUAAAUACAGGUUUUGCCUCUGAUCUUUUCCUGCUACAUUUGUGCAAUAUGUUUUUGAGGUUGUAAGGAAUAUAUUUAAUUGGGAGCCUUGU
Passer domesticus (house sparrow) is the source of this 1420-nucleotide long non-coding RNA. RefSeq lists it as uncharacterized. The transcript is spliced from 4 exons. The record is from RefSeq and is a predicted model, not a curated record. Lineage: Eukaryota; Metazoa; Chordata; Aves; Passeriformes; Passeridae.